UGAGGAAUCUUCCGCAAUGGGCGAAAGCCUGACGGAGCGACGCCGCGUGAAGGAUGAAGUCUUUUUUAGAUGUAAACUUCUGUUCUGAGGGACGAAAUUUUUUGACGGUACCUCAGGAGAAAGCAUCGGCUAACCCUGUGCCAGCAGCCGCGGUAAGACAGGGGAUGCAAGCGUUACUCGGAAUUACUGGGCGUAAAGCGUCUGCAGGUGUCUUGGGUAGUCUACGGUCAAAUGACGGAGCUCAACUCCGUCCGUGCUGUGGAAACUCCCAAGAUUGAGCCAUUCAGAGGCAUCUGGAAUGUCGUGUGGAGGGGUAAAAUCCGUAGAUCCACGAUGGAACGCCAAAAGCGAAGGCAGGAUGCUAGGAAUGUGCUGACACUCAGAGACGAAAGCGUGGGGAGCAAAGGGGAUUAGAUACCCCCGUAGUCCCUGAGCGGGCUGGCAAGGCGCAU
This 452-nucleotide ribosomal RNA is filed under the name uncultured bacterium. RNAcentral describes it as "bacterial SSU rRNA". It matches the Rfam family "Bacterial small subunit ribosomal RNA", at positions 355 to 825 of the family's 1533-position model. The record is from RNAcentral.